Long non-coding RNA from Trachemys scripta elegans, 1261 nucleotides. RefSeq lists it as uncharacterized. NCBI's taxonomy places the organism in Eukaryota, Metazoa, Chordata, Testudines, Emydidae. The record is from RefSeq and is a predicted model, not a curated record. The transcript is spliced from 4 exons.
GCGAGGCUGAGCCCCCCUCCCCGGGUGUGUCCGCUCCUCACGGGCGAUUUGCGACCCUCCCCCCCAAGGGCCGCCUGCCCCUCUGUGGGGAGCGGAACUGGCCCGCUCUGGGGACGGGGACUCCGCACUCCCGGCCCCCCCGUGGCUGUGGGACGGGCUUGCCUCAGCGCCAGGCGGGGUAAAGCCGCCCCCACAAAGGAGAAGUCCAGGAAAGCCAGACAUACCAAGGUCCUGCAGAACUGCUGAUUAAGAGGUACAAGGAGUGGGAAAGGAAUGCUGCAGAGCUGAUUCUCUACUACCUGGAUGAGCUGGGAACAUAAAGAUGGGUAUUUAUUUCAUACUCAUCACUGUGGGCGUUGGGGAAAACAGGCUUUUUCGGUGCAUUACAAAAUCACGUCAUAAAUGUCAUGCCACCACAAAGACCAAUGCUUGGGAGCUCCUUCUCCUUUUAUGGGGUACUUCUACAUCUGGUCUUCCGCAAAUCACACCUCCCAUUUCUCAAAUUGCAGCCUCUACAACUUUGAGUUCGGAAGAGAUAUUAAAAAAAUCUCCCAAAAUCUAGGAUGCAAGACUCUUCUCAUCAAGUCAGAAUCCAGCACAAGUGAGAUAAAACCAGGAGACUUUUCGCAUUUUUCACUUCACAGACUGUGAGUUUAGUAACAUGAGAAAUCCCAGCUGCAUAAGUAUCCUGUGCUACCUUCCCUCCAGGCUUUACUGACAACUGAUCUCAAUCCUGACAUCAGACAUUGCUCUGCGGUCCCAGACCUGGACCUGAUGUAACUGAGACUAAUAUUCACUCACAGCUAUGUUGUGGUCUGAUUGAUCUUGGGAAUGGAUACUAGGAUGAAGCUGCAUUUUACAAGUAACCUCGGACAGAAACUGACUUGGGGACUUCAGAGAUGACAGGCUAGUGCACUAACACAUCUGGUUAACCUAGAACCAUCCUUCUAUUUGCUACUGCUGAAAGAACAGUGUGAGGGGGCCCUCCAACUGUCUGUGACUCAUGCAUACUUAUCAGUAAUACAGUAUGGAGAGUCUCACUUGUGAAUCCUGGAUUAAACUUUUGAGGCUGAGUUUAAAUCUUGGAUUGACGUAUUAUAGCUCUAUCCGCUUUUAGGGACUGAUCUUGAAAUUUUAACUUAUAGCCCUUUGAAGCAAUAACAAAGAGACAAAUUCCUGUUUGAUUUCAAAGAUGGUAAUCACGAAAAGCAGGCAAUGCAAUUGUAUGGGACCAAAUCUGAAUUUUGCACUAACCUUUGCA